GGUGAACACUGGCGGCGUGCUUAAGACAUGCAAGUCGAACGGCAGUCUUCGGACUGUAGUGGCGCACGGGUGAGUAACGCGUAACUGACCUACCCCAAAGUCGCGGAUAACGAUUCGAAAGAAUCGCUAAUACGUGAUGUGCUGUCAGAUCCUGUUCUGCCAGUAAAGAUUGAUUGCUUUGGGAUGGGGUUGCGUUCCAUCAGCUGGUUGGUGGGGUAAAGGCCCACCAAGGCGACGACGGAUAGCCGGCCUGAGAGGGUGGCCGGCCACAGGGGCACUGAGACACGGGUCCCACUCCUACGGGAGGCAGCAGUUAGGAAUCUUCCACAAUGGGCGAAAGCCUGAUGGAGCGACGCCGCGUGAGGGAUGAAGGUCUUCGGAUCGUAAACCUCUGAGUCAGGGACGAAAGACACUUCGGUGGGAUGACGGUACCUGAGUAAUAGCACCGGCUAACUCCGUCCCAGCCGCCGCAGUAA
This 476-nucleotide ribosomal RNA is filed under the name uncultured bacterium. RNAcentral describes it as "partial 16S ribosomal RNA". It matches the Rfam family "Bacterial small subunit ribosomal RNA", at positions 28 to 523 of the family's 1533-position model. The record is from RNAcentral.